This is a regulatory RNA element of Neotoma lepida (desert woodrat), 322 nucleotides long. It matches the Rfam family "Mason-Pfizer monkey virus packaging signal". Rfam says of the family: The packaging signal is located in the 5' UTR and is required for specific RNA encapsidation. The record is from Rfam. Lineage: Eukaryota; Metazoa; Chordata; Mammalia; Rodentia; Cricetidae.
UGGUGCCCAACGUUGAGGCUUGAGAACGUGGAGGAUUGGUGAACGUCGCACACCAAGGCAGGCCUGCAUAUCAGUUGGACCACCGUGGAGAAAGCUUCACGAGCGAAGGUCUGGUUCAGUGAUCACCACGGGGACGCCGACUGUGAGACAGAUACUGGGAGUUGAUUUGUGCCGAUGCAAGUUAAGUUUACCAUGGGACAAGCAUUUAGUAAGCAGGAUUUAUUUAUUUCAGGACUUAAUUAGUCUCUCAAGACACGAGGAACAAGGGUUAAAAAGAAAGAUUUUAAAAAGUUUCUUGAUUAUAUUGGGGACCUUUGUCCCU